RNAcentral lists this ribosomal RNA (253 nucleotides) under uncultured bacterium. Its description in RNAcentral is "partial 16S ribosomal RNA". It matches the Rfam family "Bacterial small subunit ribosomal RNA", at positions 524 to 776 of the family's 1533-position model. The record is from RNAcentral.
UACGUAGGCAGCAAACGUUGUUCGGAAUUACUGGGCGUAAAGAGUGUGUAGGCGGUUCUGUAAGUUCUGUGUGAAAUCUCCCGGCUUAACUGGGAGGGUGCGCCGAAAACUGCAGGGCUUGAGUACUGGAGAGGAUAGCGGAAUUCCUGGUGUAGCGGUGAAAUGCGUAGAUAUCAGGAGGAACACCGGCGGUGUAGACGGCUGUCUGGACAGUAACUGACGCUGAAACACGAAAGCGUGGGGAGCAAACAGG